GACGAACGCUGGCGGCGUGCUUAACACAUGCAAGUCGAACGGAAAGGCCUUUUCGGAGGUACUCGAGUGGCGAACGGGUGAGUAACACGUGGGUGAUCUGCCCUGCACUCUGGGAUAAGCCUGGGAAACUGGGUCUAAUACCGGAUAGGACCGCACUUUAGUGUGUGUGGGGGAAAGAUUUUUCGGUGUAGGAUGUGCCCGCGGCCUAUCGGAUUGUUGGUGGGGUAAUGGCCUACCAAGGCGGCGGCGGGUAGCCGGACUGAGAGGUUGGGCGGCCACAUUGGGACUGAGAUACGGCCCAGACUCCUACGGGAGGCAGCAGUGGGGAAUAUUGCACAAUGGGCGCAAGCCUGAUGCAGCGACGCCGCGUGGGGGAUGACGGCCUUCGGGUUGUAAACCCCUUUCGCCAGGGACGAAGCGUUUUGUGACGGUACCUGGAGAAGAAGCACCGGCUAACUACGUG
RNAcentral lists this ribosomal RNA (463 nucleotides) under uncultured bacterium. RNAcentral describes it as "partial 16S ribosomal RNA". It matches the Rfam family "Bacterial small subunit ribosomal RNA", at positions 28 to 507 of the family's 1533-position model. The record is from RNAcentral.